Molecule: non-coding RNA, 1174 nt
Organism: Callithrix jacchus (white-tufted-ear marmoset)
Lineage: Eukaryota; Metazoa; Chordata; Mammalia; Primates; Cebidae
Source: RefSeq, a predicted model, not a curated record
GCCAUGGCUGUCACCAUCACGCUCAAAACACUGCAGCAGCAGACCUUCAAGAUCCUCAUGGAGACCGACGAGACAGUGAGGGUACUAAAGGAGAAGAUAGAAGCUGAGAAAGGUCGUGAUGCUUUCCCCAUGGCUGGACAGAAACUUAUUUAUGCCAGCAAGAUCUUGAGCGAUGAUGUCCGCAUCAGGGGCUAUCAUAUUGAUGAGAAGAAUUUUGUAAUCAUCAUGGUGACCAAGACCAAAGCUGGCCAGGGUACCUCAGCACCCCCAGAGGCCUCACCUACAGCUGCCCCAGAGUCCUCUACAUCCUUCCCGCCUGCCCCUACCUCAGGCAUGUCCCACCCCCCACCUGCCGCCAGACAGGACAAGAGCCCGUGGGAUGAAUCCACCCCCACGACGUCCCCAGAGUCCGUGUCAGGCUCUGUUCCCUCUUCAGGUAGCAGCGGGCGAGAGGAAGAUGCAGCCUCCACGCUAGUGACGGGCUCUGAGUAUGAGACGGUGAUCACAGAGAUCAUGUCCAUGGGCUAUGAGCGGGAGCGGGUCGUGGCUGCCCUGAGAGCCAGCUAAAACAACCCCCACUGAGCAGUGGAGUAUAUGCUCACGGGAAUUCCUGGGAGCCCCGAGCCGGAACACGAUUCUGUCCAGGAGAGCCAGGUAUCUGAGCAGCUGGCCACGGAAGCAGCAGGAGAGAAACCCCUGGAGUUCCUGCGGGACCAGCCCCAGUUCUAGAACAUGCGGCAGGUGAUUCAGCAGAACCCUGCACUGCUGCCCGCUCUGCACCAACAGCUGGGCCAGGAGAAUCCUCAGCUUUUGCAGCAAAUUAGCUGGCACCAGGAGCAGUUCAUCCAGAUGCUGAACGAACCCCCUGGAGAGCUGGCAGACAUCUCAGAUGUGGAGGCAGAGGUGGGUGCCAUAGGAGAGGAGGCCCGCCUAUGAACUACAUCCAGAUGAUGCUGCAGGAGAAAGAAGCUAUAGAGAGGUUGAAGGCCCUGGGGUUUCCAGAGAGCCUGGUUAUCCAGGCCUAUUUCGCGUGUGAAAAAAACGAAAACUUGGCUGCCAACUUCCUCUUGAGUCAGAACUUUGAUAAUGAGUGAUGCCAGGAGACCAGGCGACCCAAACCCCCACCCUAACUCUACUCCAUAAAAGUUUUAUAAAAUAAAUAUAUACUCAUGUU